Molecule: long non-coding RNA, 834 nt
Filed under: Mustela putorius furo (domestic ferret)
Lineage: Eukaryota; Metazoa; Chordata; Mammalia; Carnivora; Mustelidae
Description: lncRNA (ENSMPUG00000024287.1)
Source: RNAcentral
CCGGGAUUAUGGAUGGGAUUCUCCAGGAAAGUUCUGGGUAAGAUGCUUUUGCCUAAUAGAAUGAAUGCCCAUGAAAUACAUCGGAGACCCACAAAGUUUUGAGAAUAUUAUAAAGCAGAAAUAUUGCCAGCUUAGAAGGAAAAUGGGGGAAUGACCUAACAAAAUAAAAGAAAACUUCUGGGCUCCCAAAAUUCUACAGGUAGAAUAUAGGCUAAUAAAUCUACUGCAUUGCAAACAUGUAUAAUCCUUCAAGAAAAAGAAAGGUUGAUUCUGAGGGCUGAGCUUUGGACCCACAGUGUGAAGACAAUAAGCCACAGAGAAUUAUUCCCAAUUCUUGCAUCAUAAUGGAAUGUACCCUGCUGGACUUUUUAAAGUACUCUGAACUGGUGACACUUUUCUUCCUUGUGUUUUCUCCCAUGUGGCAUAAGGAUAUUCUAGAAUGGCUAGCCUAUGCUCCUGCUACCACUGCAUUUUGGAAAGUAGACAAUGUUUCUACUUUCAAAGACAAUGCCUGCAGAGGCAGGAGAAAACAACACUUCAGUUCCUCGCCUGCUCUUGCCUCAGUGAAUUUGAGCCAUUGAUCCAAGGGAAUCUGGACAACAAGCAAUUCUCCCUCCAACCUCCAUCUCUGCAAUAUGAAAAUCAUGUCAAAUGACGGAAAUCCAGUUCUGCAAUAACUGAAAAAUUAGAGCAUGGGGAGGGUGGGGAGAGACUUAAUUCCGAGUUUAUCAGUUUGGAUCACCCUGAAGAGGGUGCUAUAAAACUGGGGUUCACCUCUGCUCUAACCACUCCAUACCAGCUUUGCCUUAGGCCAUUUUCUGGCCCUCUACUGCC